This 1562-nucleotide ribosomal RNA is filed under the name metagenome. RNAcentral's name for it is "bacterial LSU rRNA". It matches the Rfam family "Bacterial large subunit ribosomal RNA", at positions 1421 to 2925 of the family's 2925-position model. The record is from RNAcentral.
GACAUAAUGCAACUAGCACAAUCUAAUAAUCACCACCACCACCACCACUAAACCCAGCUUUCUUGUACAAAUGGUCUUUAUUACCGAUGGGGUGACGCAUGGAGCAGAAUUUAGCCACUGAUGGAUGUGGCGGAUUGCGCGUAAGAUGUACAGGUGGCAAAUCCCCUGUACGCGUAUCUGAGACGCAGGACCUUUUGAGGGCUUCGGCCCAAAGAAGAGUAAUUCCGGUCUGCGCCAGGAAAAACCUCUAAGGGAGUUUUAUUUGUGCCCGUACCGUAAACCGACACAGGUAGACGAGGCGAAUAGCCUAAGGUGCUCGAGACAACUCGGGAGAAGGAACUCGGCAAAUUAACCCCGUAACUUCGGGAUAAGGGGAGCCUCCAUUUGUUAGUGUGAACAGCACAAAGCAUAAGGAGGCCGCAGAGAAAUGGCAGAAGCGACUGUUUACCAAAAACACAGGGCUAUGCAAACCCGUAAGGGAAAGUAUAUAGUCUGACACGUGCCCGGUGCUGGAAGGUUAACAGGAGAUGUCAGCGCAAGCGAAGCAUUGAAUCGAAGCCCCAGUAAACGGCGGCCGUAACUAUAACGGUCCUAAGGUAGCGAAAUUCCUUGUCGGGUAAGUUCCGACCUGCACGAAUCGUGUAACGACUUCUGCACUGUCUCCUCCCGGGACUCGGCGAAAUUGCAGCGUCGGUGAAGAUGCCGACAACCCGCACCUGGACGGAAAGACCCCAUGAACCUUCACUGUAUUUUGACAUUGGUUUUAGGCUUGACAUGUGUAGGAUAGGUGGGAGGCUUUGAAGCGGUGACGCCAGUCAUCGUGGAGCCAUCCUUGAAAUACCACCCUUGUCCGGUUUGAGAUCUAACCGUGGCCCGUCAUCCGGGUCCGGGACCGUGUCUGAUGGUCAGUUUGACUGGGGCGGUCGCCUCCUAAAUGGUAACGGAGGCAUCCAAUGGUUCCCUCAGCGCGGUCGGUAAUCGCGCGUAGAGCAUAAAGGCAUAAGGGAGCUUGACUGCGAGACAGACAUGUCGAGCAGGUACGAAAGUAGGGCUUAGUGAUCCCGCGGUACAGCGUGGAACGGCCGUUGCUCAAUGGAUAAAAGGUACUCUGGGGAUAACAGGCUGAUCUCCCCCAAGCGUUCAUAGCGACGGGGAGGUUUGGCACCUCGAUGUCGGCUCGUCGCAUCCUGGGGCUGGAGAAGGUCCCAAGGGUUUGGCUGUUCGCCAAUUAAAGCGGCACGCGAGCUGGGUUCAGAACGUCGUGAGACAGUUCGGUCCCUAUCCGGUGUGGGCGCACGAAAUUUGAGGGAACCUGUCCUUAGUACGAGAGGACCGGGACGGACGCACCUCUGGUGUACCGGCUGUCACGCCAGUGGCAUUGCCGGGUAGCUAUGUGCGGAUUGGAGAAACGCUGAAAGCAUCUAAGCGUGAAGCCAUUCCCAAGAUUAGAUUUCGCGGGGGCAACCCCCUAAAGGAUCGUUAGAGACCAUAACGUUGAUAGGUCACAGGUGUAAGCAUAGCGAUAUGUUGAGCCGAGUGAUACUAAUAGUCCGUGAGGCUUU